AGAGGGGAAAGAUUUAUCGCUGAAGGAGCGGCCCGCGUCUGAUUAGCUAGUUGGUGAGGUAAUGGCUCACCAAGGCGACGAUCAGUAGCUGGUCUGAGAGGAUGAUCAGCCACACUGGGACUGAGACACGGCCCAGACUCCUACGGGAGGCAGCAGUGGGGAAUAUUGGACAAUAGGGGCAACCCUGAUCCAGCCAUGCCGCGUGAGUGAUGAAGGCCUUAGGGUUGUAAAACUCUUUUGUCCGGGAAGAUAAUGACUGUACCGGAAGAAUAAGCCCCGGCUAACUUCGUGCCAGCAGCCGCGGUAAUACGAAGGGGGCUAGCGUUGUUCGGAAUCACUGGGCGUAAAGCGCACGUAGGCGGAUUGUUAAGUCAGAGGUGAAAUCCCGGAGCUCAACUUCGGAACUGCCUUUGAUACUGGCAAUCUUGAGUCUGGAAGA
RNAcentral lists this ribosomal RNA (439 nucleotides) under uncultured bacterium. RNAcentral's name for it is "bacterial SSU rRNA". It matches the Rfam family "Bacterial small subunit ribosomal RNA", at positions 196 to 655 of the family's 1533-position model. The record is from RNAcentral.